CAAUUUGAGAAAUAUUAUUACUCUUUUUUUUCCAAAGGUACAAUUUCAUUGCAAGGCCUCAAGAAGGCAAAAAGAGAUUACAAAGUUGACUUGCUUCAAAGAAUUACAAUAAAAGAAAUCAUCAAGCACAUUUGUUGAUUAGACAAUGAGCUGCCAUGUUUCUUAUCCUAUUGACAUGCUAAAAAGAGACGUAAGCUAAAGCUGAACUCAAUUGCAAAAUAUCAAGAACAAUGCUUACAAUGCAUGCUCUGCCUAACUUGAAUUCCUGACAAGGAGUCAGCUUCAAUGAUCACUUGCCCAAAUCCUCUUGAUGCAGCUAAAUGGACAGCUUCCCUACGUGCAAGAACUUCUAGGCUAUGUAAGUAGCCAUCCCAAAGGCAUACCAUUGGAGGAAGAAGAAGACUCUCUCAUAGGUAAUGAAAUAUAUAUAUAUAUAUAUUGUAACAGCAAAAUAUUACCAGCAUAGCU
This 468-nucleotide unclassified non-coding RNA is filed under the name Hevea brasiliensis (rubber tree). Lineage: Eukaryota; Viridiplantae; Streptophyta; Magnoliopsida; Malpighiales; Euphorbiaceae. The record is from RNAcentral.